UCAAGUAAUUAAGUGCAUGUGGUGGAUGCCUUGGCAGUCAGAGGCGAUGAAAGACGUGAUAGCCUGCGAAAAGCUCCGGGGAGGCGGCAAAUAUCCUUUGAUCCGGAGAUGUCUGAAUGGGGGAACCCACCUACUUUAAGGUAGGUAUUGCAACAUGAAUACAUAGUGUUGCAAGGCGAACGAGGGGAAGUGAAACAUCUCAGUACCCUUAGGAAAAGAAAUCAAUUGAGAUUCCCUCAGUAGCGGCGAGCGAACGGGGAUCAGCCCAUUAAGUUAUGUGUGUUUUAGUGGAACGCUCUGGGAAGUGCGAACGUAGAGGGUGAUAUUCCCGUACACGAAAGGGCACACAUAAUGAUGACGAGUAGGGCGAGGCACGUGAAACCUUGUCUGAAUAUGGGGGGACCAUCCUCCAAGGCUAAAUACUCCUGACUGACCGAUAGUGAACCAGUACCGUGAGGGAAAGGCGAAAAGAACCCCUGUGAGGGGAGUGAAAUAGAUCCUGAAACCGCAUGCAUACAAGCAGUGGGAGCACCUUCGUGGUGUGACUGCGUACCUUUUGUAUAAUGGGUCAGCGACUUAUAUUCAGUAGCGAGGUUAACCGUAUAGGGGAGCCGUAGAGAAAUCGAGUCUUAAUAGGGCGUUUAGUUGCUGGGUAUAGACCCGAAACCAGGCGAUCUAUCCAUGAGCAGGUUGAAGGUUGGGUAACACUAACUGGAGGACCGAACCCACUGUCGUUGAAAAGCCAGGGGAUGACUUGUGGAUAGGGGUGAAAGGCUAAUCAAGCCUGGUGAUAGCUGGUUCUCCCCGAAAGCUAUUUAGGUAGCGCCUCGGACGAAUACCAUAGGGGGUAGAGCACUGUUUCGGCUAGGGGGUCAUCCCGACUUACCAAACCGAUGCAAACUCCGAAUACCUAUGAGUACUAUCCGGGAGACAGACUGCGGGUGCUAACGUCCGUAGUCAAGAGGAAAACAAUCCAGACCGCCAGCUAAGGCCCCAAAAUCAUAGUUAAGUGGGAAACGAUGUGGGAAGGCAUAGACAGCUAGGAGGUUGGCUUAGAAGCAGCCACCCUUUAAAGAAAGCGUAAUAGCUCACUAGUCGAGUCGGCCUGCGCGGAAGAUGUAACGGGGCUAAAACUAUGUGCCGAAGCUGCGGAUGUAUACUUUGUAUACGUGGUAGGGGAGCGUUCUGUAAGCCGAUGAAGGUGUGUUGAGAAGCAUGCUGGAGGUAUCAGAAGUGCGAAUGCUGACGUGAGUAACGACAAAACGGGUGAAAAACCCGUUCGCCGAAAGACCAAGGGUUCCAGUCCAACGUUAAUCGGGGCUGGGUGAGUCGACCCCUAAGGCGAGGCCGAAAGGCGUAGUCGAUGGGAAAAUGGUUAAUAUUCCAUUACUUCUGUGUAAUGCGAUGAGAGGACGGAGAAGGCUAAAUCAGCCUGGCGUUGGUUGUCCAGGUGAAAGGAUGUAGGCAUGUAUCUUAGGCAAAUCCGGGGUACUCUAUGCUGAGAUCUGAUAGCAAGCUGUACUUGUACAGCGAAGUGGUUGAUGCCAUGCUUCCAGGAAAAGUCUCUAAGCUUCAGUUACACAGGAAUCGUACCCGAAACCGACACAGGUGGUCAGGUCGAGUAGACCAAGGCGCUUGAGAGAACUCUGCUGAAGGAACUAGGCAAAAUGGUACCGUAACUUCGGGAGAAGGUACGCUGUUGUUGGUGAUGGAACUUGCUUCCUGAGCUGACGACAGCCGCAGAAACCAGGCCGCUGCAACUGUUUAUUAAAAACAUAGCACUCUGCAAACACGAAAGUGGACGUAUAGGGUGUGAUGCCUGCCCGGUGCUGGAAGGUUAAUUGAUGGGGUUAGCGUAAGCGAAGCUCUUGAUCGAAGCCCCAGUAAACGGCGGCCGUAACUAUAACGGUCCUAAGGUAGCGAAAUUCCUUGUCGGGUAAGUUCCGACCUGCACGAAUGGCAUAAUGAUGGCGGCGCUGUCUCCAGCAGAGGCUCAGUGAAAUCGAAAUCGCUGUGAAGAUGCAGUGUACCCGCGGCUAGACGGAAAGACCCCGUGAACCUUUACUGCAGCUUGACACUGAACUUUGACCUUACUUGUGUAGGAUAGGUGGGAGGCUUUGAAGCUGGAACGCUAGUUCCAGUGGAGCCGUCCUUGAAAUACCACCCUGGUAAUGUUGAGGUUCUAACUCUGUCCCGUGAUCCGGGACGAGGACCGUGUCUGGUGGGUAGUUUGACUGGGGCGGUCUCCUCCUAAAGAGUAACGGAGGAGUACGAAGGUGCGCUCAGCGUGGUCGGAAAUCACGCGUAGAGUAUAAAGGCAAAAGCGCGCUUAACUGCGAGACCCACAAGUCGAGCAGGUACGAAAGUAGGUCUUAGUGAUCCGGUGGUUCUGUAUGGAAGGGCCAUCGCUCAACGGAUAAAAGGUACUCUGGGGAUAACAGGCUGAUACCGCCCAAGAGUUCAUAUCGACGGCGGUGUUUGGCACCUCGAUGUCGGCUCAUCUCAUCCUGGGGCUGAAGCAGGUCCCAAGGGUAUGGCUGUUCGCCAUUUAAAGAGGUACGCGAGCUGGGUUUAGAACGUCGUGAGACAGUUCGGUCCCUAUCUACCGUGGGCGCUGGAAAUUUGAGAGGAUCUGCUCCUAGUACGAGAGGACCAGAGUGGACGAACCUCUGGUGUACCGGUUGUGACGCCAGUCGCAUCGCCGGGUAGCUAUGUUCGGAAGGGAUAACCGCUGAAAGCAUCUAAGCGGGAAGCCUACCUCAAGAUAAGAUUUCCCUAGGACUUUAUGUCCUCUAAAGAGCCGUUCGAGACUAGGACGUUGAUAGGUUGGAUGUGGAAGCAUAGUGAUAUGUGAAGCUGACCAAUACUAAUUGCUCGUGAGGCUUGACUAU
Molecule: ribosomal RNA, 2891 nt
Filed under: Acinetobacter baumannii
Lineage: Bacteria; Pseudomonadati; Pseudomonadota; Gammaproteobacteria; Moraxellales; Moraxellaceae
Also listed under: 3 other names
Description: bacterial LSU rRNA
Rfam family: Bacterial large subunit ribosomal RNA
Source: RNAcentral